AGUGGGGAAUUUUGGACAAUGGGCGAAAGCCUGAUCCAGCCAUGUCGCGUGCAGGAUGAAGGCCUUCGGGUUGUAAACUGCUUUUGUACGGAACGAAAAGACUCUGGUUAAUACCUGGGGUCCAUGACGGUACCGUAAGAAUAAGCACCGGCUAACUACGUGCCAGCAGCCGCGGUAAUACGUAGGGUGCAAGCGUUAAUCGGAAUUACUGGGCGUAAAGCGUGCGCAGGCGGUUAUAUAAGACAGAUGUGAAAUCCCCGGGCUCAACCUGGGAACUGCAUUUGUGACUGUAUAGCUAGAGUACGGCAGAGGGGGAUGGAAUUCCGCGUGUAGCAGUGAAAUGCGUAGAUAUGCGGAGGAACACCGAUGGCGAAGGCAAUCCCCUGGGCCUGUACUGACGCUCAUGCACGAAAGCGUGGGGAGCAAA
This 427-nucleotide ribosomal RNA is filed under the name uncultured Acidovorax sp. RNAcentral describes it as "bacterial SSU rRNA". It matches the Rfam family "Bacterial small subunit ribosomal RNA", at positions 353 to 772 of the family's 1533-position model. The record is from RNAcentral. Lineage: Bacteria; Pseudomonadati; Pseudomonadota; Betaproteobacteria; Burkholderiales; Comamonadaceae.